UUCAGUCCACUCUAAAAUGGAUCUUAGACUAUCUCAAGCUGUGCACUGCAGCGAGGAGUUUGGAACUGAGAGAAAGAGCGAUGAACAUGUAUCAGAAGAGAAAAUAAGCUGCUGCUUGGUGCCUUGUCCUUGUUCUCCCCUCUCAUUUGCUGAUGGCUGAUAACACCUAUCUCCACCAGGGAAGCAACUGGGAAGUUUGCUCCUUC
Molecule: long non-coding RNA, 206 nt
Organism: Catharus ustulatus (Swainson's thrush)
Lineage: Eukaryota; Metazoa; Chordata; Aves; Passeriformes; Turdidae
Exons: 3
Source: RefSeq, a predicted model, not a curated record